UAGGCAAAUGCUAUAUAUAUUAGGUAUAUAGAGGAAAGUCCAAGCUCACACGACCUGUGAUGGUUGUAAGUGUUCGUGCUAAGGGAAAAAAUAACCUUAGGCAGUUUAUACUGACGGCUUUGAAAUAAUCCUAAUGGGAUUAGAUUAGAUAUAAAAGUGCCAAAGAGACGAGACUAGAAAGUAAUUUCUAGAGUGGAACGAGGUAAACCCCGCGAGUGAGAAACCCAAAUUUGGUAGGGGAGUCUUUACUAGGAAUAUGAACGAUGUAAAGGACCUAGAGAUAGGUAGAUAAAUAUUUGCCACCUUUUUUAAAGGGACAGAACGUGGCUUAUU
Molecule: RNase P RNA, 333 nt
Filed under: human gut metagenome
Description: Bacterial RNase P class B
Rfam family: Bacterial RNase P class B
About the family: Ribonuclease P (RNase P) is a ubiquitous endoribonuclease, found in archaea, bacteria and eukarya as well as chloroplasts and mitochondria.
Source: RNAcentral